This 445-nucleotide ribosomal RNA is filed under the name uncultured bacterium. Its description in RNAcentral is "bacterial SSU rRNA". It matches the Rfam family "Bacterial small subunit ribosomal RNA", at positions 338 to 797 of the family's 1533-position model. The record is from RNAcentral.
CCUACGGGUGGCUGCAGUGAGGAAUAUUGGACAAUGGGGGCAACCCUGAUCCAGCAACGCCGCGUGAGUGAUGAAGGCCUUCGGGUUGUAAAGCUCUGUUGAUGGGGAAGAAGUAAGUGACGGUACCCAUCGAGGAAGCACCGGCUAACUCCGUGCCAGCAGCCGCGGUAAUACGGAGGGUGCAAGCGUUGUUCGGAAUUACUGGGCGUAAAGGGGGCGUAGGCGGUUUGUUAAGUCAAAUGUGAAAGUCCACGGCUUAACCGUGGAAGUGCAUUUGAGACUGUCAGGCUAGAGUUUCGGAAGGGAAAGUGGAAUUCCUGGUGUAGGAGUGAAAUCCGUAGAUAUCAGGAGGAAUACCGGUGGCGAAGGCGACUUUCUGGACGAAUACUGACGCUGAGGCCCGAAAGCGUGGGGAGCAAACAGGAUUAGAUACCCGGGUAGUCCG